CACGCCCUAAACGAUGAUUACUCGACAUACGCGAUACACAGUGUGUGUCUGAGCGAAAGCAUUAAGUAAUCCACCUGGGAAGUACNUACGCGAGGAACCUUACCUGGGCUAGAAUGCUGCCUGACUGUUCCUGAAAGGGGAUUUUAUAGCAAUAUACAGGUAGUAAGGUGC
Molecule: ribosomal RNA, 171 nt
Filed under: uncultured bacterium
Lineage: Bacteria
Description: partial 16S ribosomal RNA
Source: RNAcentral